Molecule: long non-coding RNA, 856 nt
Filed under: Brachypodium distachyon (stiff brome)
Lineage: Eukaryota; Viridiplantae; Streptophyta; Magnoliopsida; Poales; Poaceae
Description: long non-coding RNA (BDIS_LNC002515)
Source: RNAcentral
GACGAUCCACACUGGCUUCCCCGUUUCAGACCAAAACUGAUCGAUGCGUGCUAUUUUCGUGUACUUUUUUUUUUCCGAGCGAGUUUUCUUUUAAGAUGAACAGGGACCAUUGAUUUCGGUCCCAACUUUUCAUUGAGACCCAACAGGUCAGAUGGAACAGAGUAGCAAAAUGCGAGGUGUCGGAACAGUUAUCAGGCCAAAAGCUACCAAACUUCUAGUCCUAUCUUUGCAAAGCCAAAAUGACCUAUAGCUAUUACAAGCCGGCGCGCGGCAAUCAACGAGCCACGCAUUGCAUCGAAGUGGAGCAUGGAGCGCCGCCAGCUUCUUCUUCUUCUUCUUCUUCUUCUUCACGGGAGAUGGCUGGGGGGAUGCCAGAGGGGCUCAGCGAGCUUUAGUGCAUUUGGGGGGGAUAACUGGAGCGCGUCUGAGAUCUUGAGCCUUGCAUAAUCUCCCAGAAGGUUGUCGUCAGGCCUCGGUGACAGCGGCCGAAUCAUACCUCCAGUAGAUUCAAUUGCUGCUAACGCCAGCCCAAGAGAGGGGGUGCCUUCAGCACCGAGCGGAGGAGGGUACAUAAAUCCUCUACCUGCCCCAAAUUCUCCCGCUUGAAGAUAAUUCUCCAUUUCUGGAUAGAUUGAAGGAUUAGCACCAUAGUUGAUCAGAGCUUGACCAAACAGCUUUAUUAAAAAGAAAGCUAUUCCUAAAUUUUUGAAUGCACCACAGGACUGCAGAGCAUAUAGAAUUCAGAGCCCCAUGUUUCUUAUUGGAAAGUCAGAAUCUGGCUAUAGAUUCUAAAUCAGCGCCUAGCAGCCUUUUGAAAUAAAGGGAGACUGAUUUCCCGAUCGUUCUAGCAACCACA